UGAGGAAUCUUCGUCAAUGGGCUAAGGCCUGAACGAGCAACGCCGCGUGGAGGACGACGCCUUUCGGGGUGUAAACUCCUUUUCUGGGGGACGAGAACGGACGGUACCCCAGGAAGAAGUCUCGGCUAACUACGUGCCAGCAGCCGCGGUAAUACGUAGGAGACGAGCGUUGUCCGGAGUUACUGGGCGUAAAGGGCGCGCAGGCGGCCUCCCGCGUGAGUGGUGAAAGCUCCUGGCUUAACUAGGAGAGGUCCAUUCAGACGGGGAGGCUUGAGCGUCGGAGAGGGGCAUGGAAUUCCGGGUGGAGCGGUGAAAUGCGUAGAGAUCCGGAGGAACACCAAUGGCGAAGGCAGUGCCCUGGCCGACGGCUGACGCUCAGGCGCGAAAGCGUGGGGAGCAAACAGGAUUAGAUACCCCCGUAGUCC
Molecule: ribosomal RNA, 425 nt
Filed under: uncultured bacterium
Lineage: Bacteria
Description: bacterial SSU rRNA
Rfam family: Bacterial small subunit ribosomal RNA
Source: RNAcentral